This 275-nucleotide ribosomal RNA is filed under the name uncultured bacterium. RNAcentral describes it as "partial 16S ribosomal RNA". It matches the Rfam family "Bacterial small subunit ribosomal RNA", at positions 338 to 610 of the family's 1533-position model. The record is from RNAcentral.
CCUACGGGGGGCAGCAGUAAGGAAUAUUGGUCAAUGGUGGGAACACUGAACCAGCCAUCCCGCGUGCAGGACGAAGGCCCUCUGGGUUGUAAACUGCUUUUACCAGGAAAGAAACGGGCGGUCUUGACCGCCCCUGACGGUACCUGGGGAAUAAGCACCGGCUAACUCCGUGCCAGCAGCCGCGGUAAUACGGAGGGUGCGAGCGUUAUCCGGAAUCACUGGGUUUAAAGGGUGCGUAGGCGGCCCGGUAAGUCAGGGGUGAAAGCUUCCCGCUC